Molecule: transfer RNA, 59 nt
Filed under: Vibrio chagasii
Lineage: Bacteria; Pseudomonadati; Pseudomonadota; Gammaproteobacteria; Vibrionales; Vibrionaceae
Description: Pseudo tRNA
Rfam family: tRNA
About the family: Transfer RNA (tRNA) molecules are approximately 80 nucleotides in length. Their secondary structure includes four short double-helical elements and three loops (D, anti-codon, and T loops).
Source: RNAcentral
AUCGCCAAGCGGUAAGGCACCGGCUUUUGAUGCCGGCAUUCCCUGGUUCGAAUCCAGGU